AGCGAACGCUGGCGGCAGGCCUAACACAUGCAAGUCGAACGAAUCCUUCGGGAUUAGUGGCGGACGGGUGAGUAACACGUGGGAACGUGCCCUUUGGUUCGGAACAACUCAGGGAAACUUGAGCUAAUACCGGAUGUGCCCUUCGGGGGAAAGAUUUAUCGCCAUUGGAGCGGCCCGCGUCUGAUUAGCUAGUUGGUGAGGUAACGGCCCACCAAGGCGACGAUCAGUAGCUGGUCUGAGAGGAUGAUCAGCCACACUGGGACUGAGACACGGCCCAGACUCCUACGGGAGGCAGCAGUGGGGAAUCUUGCGCAAUGGGCGAAAGCCUGACGCAGCCAUGCCGCGUGAAUGAUGAAGGUCUUAGGAUUGUAAAAUUCUUUCAGCGGGGACGAUAAUGACGGUACCCGCAGAAGAAGCUCCGGCUAACUUCGUG
Molecule: ribosomal RNA, 433 nt
Filed under: uncultured bacterium
Lineage: Bacteria
Description: partial 16S ribosomal RNA
Rfam family: Bacterial small subunit ribosomal RNA
Source: RNAcentral